CCUACGGGUGGCUGCAGUGAGGAAUAUUGGUCAAUGGGCGCGAGCCUGAACCAGCCAAGUAGCGUGAAGGAUGACUGCCCUACGGGUUGUAAACUUCUUUUAUAAAGGAAUAAAGUGAGGCACGUGUGCCUUUUUGUAUGUACUUUAUGAAUAAGGAUCGGCUAACUCCGUGCCCGCAGCCGCGGUAAUACGGAGGAUCCGAGCUUUAUCCGGAUUUAUUGGGUUUAAAGGGAGCGUAGAUGGGUGGUUAAGUAAGUGGUGAAAUUUUGCGGCUCAACCGUAAAAUUGCAAUUGAUACUGGCAGCCUAGAGGACAGUUGAGGUAGGCGGAAGGCGUGGUGUAGCGGUGAAAUGCUUAGAGAUCAGGAAGAACUCCGAUUGCGAAGGCAGCCUACUAAGCUGCCACUGACAUUGAUGCUCGAAAGUGUGGGUAUCAAACAGGAUUAGAUACCCUUGUAGUC
Molecule: ribosomal RNA, 460 nt
Filed under: uncultured bacterium
Lineage: Bacteria
Description: partial 16S ribosomal RNA
Rfam family: Bacterial small subunit ribosomal RNA
Source: RNAcentral